This 742-nucleotide long non-coding RNA is filed under the name Homo sapiens (human). Its description in RNAcentral is "non-protein coding lnc-UCK1-3:1". The record is from RNAcentral. Lineage: Eukaryota; Metazoa; Chordata; Mammalia; Primates; Hominidae.
AUGGAAAGAGCUAGUACAAUCACAUAUUUGAAAGGAGAAACAAUAGGUACUGAACCGGAGGGAAAGGGCGAGGGUGAGUGUGCCAGCACCGGCCUGGUGAAUCCACGAUUCGAUUUCCCAUCCAAGGUAAGUUUCCCAAAAUACCGUAUAAACAAGCUGCACAUUACACCUCUAGCCAUCGUCUGCCCUUUCAAAUAUCUGGUCUACAUGGAAAGACAAAGAGGAAAGGCCAAAACAUAAACAAAAGGAAACAAAAACAAAACACAACCCUCUCAGGAACCAAACAAAACCCCCAAAUCCUUUUUUACUACACAAGGCAUGAGGUCAAAAGCUUGAGUACAGUGUCCCCUUUAGAUCACGGGAGAAAGGCGUCCACACAGAGCCUUAGCAGGAAUUUCCACUCUGAGGCUUCAGAACAUGCUGAAGAUGGGGCUCUGAGGGUGCCACUACCAUCCUGGAGGCCACCAAGUGGGGUGGAAACAGUGAAGAGCAGGUCUCACAUGCCCGAAGACCACCAGCCAACUACACAUUGGUGGCCCUGGUGGAGCAUGGCUGGGCGACAGCGUCCAUCCCCAACACUGAGCCACUCCUGUCCUGGAUGACUUCCUGCUUAGGUCCGUCACAUUUCAGAAGAGAGCUGGCUUUCUGGAAGCCUACGUUUCCCAUUCAUCACAGAACACGACAGAGUGCACACAUCCUGGUAUCCUUGGUCUUCAAAGGCCAUUUCCAGCAGACCCUCUAA